This 398-nucleotide unclassified non-coding RNA is filed under the name fungal sp. RNAcentral's name for it is "partial internal transcribed spacer region". The stretch from base 1 to 45 matches the Rfam family "Eukaryotic small subunit ribosomal RNA", at positions 1787 to 1831 of the family's 1831-position model. The record is from RNAcentral. Lineage: Eukaryota; Fungi.
AGUCGUAACAAGGUUUCCGUAGGUGAACCUGCGGAAGGAUCAUUAACACUUACUUAUUAAAUAAAUAAAACAAGUUAGAGAUCUUGAGAGAUCAGGAUCUUUGAUUUGUUUUUUUUAAACACCAUUAUGUGAUCUUGUCUUUUUUUCUUUCUUUUUUGAUAUUGAUGUGGAGAUUGGGAGAGUUUUUUGAUCUCUCUCUCUUUUUUAAGAGGGAGAGAAAGAAAGACUUUCGAUUUCUCUCUCUUUUUAUCAAAAAGAAAUUAAAAAAACUCUUUUUUAAUUAUCAUAAUAAAAACACCUUUAUUAUUUUUCAACCUUUAUUAUAAACAAACCUAAACAAAACAUUUAAAAAAAAACAAAAGAGUACAACUCUUAACAAUGGAUAUCUUGGUUCUCGC